Molecule: ribosomal RNA, 500 nt
Filed under: uncultured bacterium
Lineage: Bacteria
Description: bacterial SSU rRNA
Rfam family: Bacterial small subunit ribosomal RNA
Source: RNAcentral
GACGAACGCUGGCGGCGUGCCUAAUACAUGCAAGUCGAGCGGAAUGAUGAAGAAACUUGCUUCUUCUGAUUUUAGCGGCGGACGGGUGAGUAACACGUGGGCAACCUACCUUGUAGAUUGGGAUAACUCCGGGAAACCGGGGCUAAUACCGAAUAAUCCAUUUUGCUUCAUGGCGAGAUGUUAAAAGGCGGCUUCGGCUGUCACUACGAGAUGGGCCCGCGGCGCAUUAGCUAGUUGGUAGGGUAAUGGCCUACCAAGGCGACGAUGCGUAGCCGACCUGAGAGGGUGAUCGGCCACACUGGGACUGAGACACGGCCCAGACUCCUACGGAAGGCAGCAGUAGGGAAUCUUCCACAAUGGACGAAAGUCUGAUGGAGCAACGCCGCGUGAGUGAAGAAGGUUUUCGGAUCGUAAAACUCUGUUGUAAGGGAAGAACACGUACGAGAGUAACUGCUCGUACCUUGACGGUACCUUAUUAGAAAGCCACGGCUAACUACGUG